RNAcentral lists this transfer RNA (57 nucleotides) under Macropostrongyloides yamagutii. Its description in RNAcentral is "tRNA-Thr". Lineage: Eukaryota; Metazoa; Nematoda; Chromadorea; Rhabditida; Strongylidae. The record is from RNAcentral.
GCUAGUAUAGUUUAAUCAUAAGAAUUUGUAACUUGUAAUUAUAGGGUAAAAUUAGCA